RNAcentral lists this ribosomal RNA (322 nucleotides) under Staphylococcus aureus. Its description in RNAcentral is "bacterial SSU rRNA". It matches the Rfam family "Bacterial small subunit ribosomal RNA", at positions 43 to 354 of the family's 1533-position model. Lineage: Bacteria; Bacillati; Bacillota; Bacilli; Caryophanales; Staphylococcaceae. The record is from RNAcentral.
CGUGCCUAAUACAUGCAAGUCGAGCGAACGGACGAGAAGCUUGCUUCUCUGAUGUUAGCGGCGGACGGGUGAGUAACACGUGGAUAACCUACCUAUAAGACUGGGAUAACUUCGGGAAACCGGAGCUAAUACCGGAUAAUAUUUUGAACCGCAUGGUUCAAAAGUGAAAGACGGUCUUGCUGUCACUUAUAGAUGGAUCCGCGCUGCAUUAGCUAGUUGGUAAGGUAACGGCUUACCAAGGCAACGAUGCAUAGCCGACCUGAGAGGGGGAUCGGCCACACUGGAACUGAGACACGGUCCAGACUCCUACGGGAGGCAGCAG